Molecule: small nucleolar RNA, 106 nt
Filed under: Myotis davidii
Lineage: Eukaryota; Metazoa; Chordata; Mammalia; Chiroptera; Vespertilionidae
Description: Small nucleolar RNA SNORA8
Rfam family: Small nucleolar RNA SNORA8
About the family: ACA8 is a member of the H/ACA class of snoRNA that guide the sites of modification of uridines to pseudouridines.
Source: Rfam by way of RNAcentral
UAGACUGCUGGGUAUUCAAAGGACAGUGCAAUAUAAAUUCAGUAUCUGGCAUCGUUGGUUUUCUUGACUUUGUGCAUGUUAAACUGGUAUUUUUAUUGAGACAUUA